GAGGAGAGAUAGGUCAACUAGGUCAACCCCCCCCCCCCCCACACACACCAUGAAGACCCUUCAUCAUCAGUGAGAAUAGCACCAGAUGCGUCAGCAACACACACGCUUCUCUUAGUGCAGAUUGAGUAACGCUGACUAGCCUGGACCAGCUCCAGGCCCGACUGGACUAGCUCCAGGCCCGACUGGACUAGCUCCAGGCCCGACUGGACUAGCUCCAGGUCCGACUGGACUAGCUCCAGGCCUGACACUCAGGAGCCGAGGACAGGCAACACAAUACUUCACACCAACUCAGGAGGAACAUUGACAAGCUAACGUAUUAAUGAAGGCUUAGUUCAUGUUGAGUGUGCUAUCUGACACAGGUCCGCUCCUGGACUCUAACCCUCCUGGGCCAGGCUCUCCUCACCCGCCAAGGACCAGUAGAAUAGCAGCUAUAUUCUCGUAUAUUAACCAGGAUAAGCAGAGUUCAGUAUGGCUAGGUGUGCUUGGACACGGCUGCCGAGCGAAGACACCCGUUCCAACCAGGAGGACUUCCAUGAGAUGCACUGUGUGCAGAAGUCCGCCUGUCUGGGGUCUUCUUGAUUCAAAGCUGUGACAGAAGGCUGGUUGUGACACUGUCUGUGUCAGCUGCUCUGCUUCCCAGCAUGCACGGCGAAGGUGAGGACAUCCACAACACAUCACCCCUACCUUCCUUUCCCAGACCAGGCACUUGAUUAGACCCCCCGCAUGGCAUGCCUCCUCGCCAACCGCCCUGGGCACAUAACUGCUCCACUGGGAGGCAGAAAUGCUGAUUACUUAAAUAUGUAGCUUCCUGUUAAGGGUGGUCUUUUCCUCCCCCUCCCCUACUCCUCCCCUCCCCCUGCCCUCCCCUCAUCCUCAUUAUUGCACUAGAGGAAAGGAACAUGGUGUUCUGUGGCUCGUCAACCCCCAGCCUGUCUCGGAGAGGACUGGAGGAUCCUCGAGGAUC
Hypomesus transpacificus is the source of this 964-nucleotide long non-coding RNA. RefSeq lists it as uncharacterized. Lineage: Eukaryota; Metazoa; Chordata; Actinopteri; Osmeriformes; Osmeridae. The transcript is spliced from 2 exons. The record is from RefSeq and is a predicted model, not a curated record.